RNAcentral lists this long non-coding RNA (1088 nucleotides) under Hordeum vulgare. RNAcentral's name for it is "long non-coding RNA (HVUL_LNC016350)". Lineage: Eukaryota; Viridiplantae; Streptophyta; Magnoliopsida; Poales; Poaceae. The record is from RNAcentral.
AGAUUUUCAUCUUAACUUUAAUCUAACAAGUUUUUAUGCAAAUUUAAUCUAACAAGUUACUGGGUGCGUCAGCUAAUCACGUACAUGUGCUGGAAGCUGUAUACUUUAGGUCCCAAUGGGAACACUUCAUAGAUUUCUCUCUUCCUGGUUUCAGAGUUUAUAUAAAAGAUUGCAAGAACCAUGAAAGUAAGAUAUGUUGCAACUUAUGAGAUAUCCACGUUCCUUUUAUGCACUUACAGAUAUGUUGCAACUUAAAUUGAAUUUGACAAGUUACUGGGUGUGUGAACCAACCACGUACAUGUGCUGGUAGCUAGAUACUUUACAAACAAUUCAUUGAUUUCUCUCCUCAUCCUGGUUUGGGGCUUUAUAUAAACGAUUGCAAGAACCGUGAGUGUAAAAUGUCCAGGUUCCUUUUAUGCACUUGUAGAUAGGUUGAGAUGGUGGAAUGAGUAGCUAAUUUGCACCAUAGAUGAAUGGUAUCGUAGGAUACUAAUUAUUUGGCUUGGGAGGUAUUAGGACAAUCAUUUAUAGCGGGAAUGGACUCCUAUGUUGCUUCAUAUCAAAAUCAACAUAAAUGUCAAGAUCAUGCACAUGUCAUUGCUAUCAUUCCUGCGGGUGCGAGCCCUGCCUGGCCCGAAAAGGAUCGAUGUGUACCUCAUAGUGCAGGUGCCCUGCGUCAUGCAAGACCAACUGCCGCCAGCAGGAGGUGGCUUGCUUCUUCGGCUGCACCGAGUCUACCAAAGUCUGCGAGGACAGAUGCAGAGCGGGUGGCCACGAAUGAGGUUGUUGAACUAUGCCACAAAUGCAGACCACUGUGCAAGCUAGGCCUCGCUGGUUCUCUAGCCGGGAAACCUAACUGAGUGCUAGCAAGAGUUAUUUUUCUACCAUGUUGUUAGGCCCUCAUGUACUGCUCUUAUAUUCACCGCAUGUCGUUACUUUGAUAUUUGUUCCAUGCUUUCUGAUCUUUGCCGAAGUUUGUCCAGUUUCAAAGUAUUACUUGAUGAUUUGUUAAGUUCUUUUUUUAUGUUCCAAAAUGUAUCGAAUAUUUUGUUGUGCACUAACAGAACUACUAAGAAAGAAUUGCACUC